GCCCAAGUGGCGGAAUUGGCAGACGCGCUAGAUUCAGGGUCUAGUGGCCGCAAGGUCGUGGAGGUUCGAGUCCUCUCUUGGGCACCA
This 87-nucleotide transfer RNA is filed under the name Acidobacteria bacterium 13_1_20CM_2_60_10. Its description in RNAcentral is "tRNA-Leu". It matches the Rfam family "tRNA". Rfam says of the family: Transfer RNA (tRNA) molecules are approximately 80 nucleotides in length. Their secondary structure includes four short double-helical elements and three loops (D, anti-codon, and T loops). Further hydrogen bonds mediate the characteristic L-shaped molecular structure. tRNAs have two regions of fundamental functional importance: the anti-codon, which is responsible for specific mRNA codon recognition, and the 3' end, to which the tRNAs corresponding amino acid is attached (by aminoacyl-tRNA synthetases). tRNAs cope with the degeneracy of the genetic code in two manners: having more than one tRNA (with a specific anti-codon) for a particular amino acid; and 'wobble' base-pairing, i.e. permitting non-standard base-pairing at the 3rd anti-codon position. RNAcentral also lists the same sequence under 6 other names. Lineage: Bacteria; Pseudomonadati; Acidobacteriota. The record is from RNAcentral.